GCGCGGCGGAGCGGAGGUGGGAGAGGUGCGUGGGGCGGCCGGGUCGCGAGGGGUCUCUUUGCGGUGCCGGGGCCCCUCUGCGGCCCGGCGUGAGAAGCCCGUGGCCGGCGGAGACUGCUCGGAGCUGGGCGGGGAGCGCCGCGGCAGUCCGGCCGCAGGCAGCCAUCCCCUGCGGUGGCCGGCAUCCCCUCGGGACUCCUGGAGGCCUGGCGGCUCCCGAUCCUCGUCUGCGGCAGCCGCCUGAGAGAGCAGCGCGGCCGUAGCCGGGGGCCGGAGAGCGCUGGUGGGUGCAGAUGGAUGAGUCGUGCAGGGCAAUGGAGGAGAGCCCAGGGGAGCGCUGGAAGAAGGUAACAGCCCUGCGAUGCUGCGGUGCCUGCGAGGUGAUGCCGCCGUGCUCGUUGCUGCUUCCUGGUAAGGAAAGGCCUCCUCCGCUCCUGCUGCAGCGUGGUGGUGUGUCGGACACGAUUCCCUGUGUCGGGUGAGGCCUAGGGCUGCCGGCGAGGUGCAGGAUGGCCUAGAGUCUGGAGCUGCAGAAGAGGCAGGGAGGAGAGAAGGGGAAAGAAGCAUCUGAACGGCUAAAUUGUGCCAGCAGCGCUGAGAACGAGAGUCCGGCCCGUCGCUCCAGGAGCCGGGCGACCGACGGUCCGUUCCCUGCCAAACCAGGACAAGCGCGUGCCGUGGUUUAGCCCCAGCUGGCAACUCUGCACCAGGGAGCUGCUUGCUCGCUCCACCCUCAGUGGGCUGGGGGAGAGAGCUGGAAGGGUAAAAGUGAGAAAAAUCA
Molecule: non-coding RNA, 781 nt
Organism: Phalacrocorax carbo (great cormorant)
Lineage: Eukaryota; Metazoa; Chordata; Aves; Suliformes; Phalacrocoracidae
Source: RefSeq, a predicted model, not a curated record